Long non-coding RNA from Octopus sinensis (East Asian common octopus), 150 nucleotides. RefSeq lists it as uncharacterized. The transcript has 3 exons. Lineage: Eukaryota; Metazoa; Mollusca; Cephalopoda; Octopoda; Octopodidae. The record is from RefSeq and is a predicted model, not a curated record.
UAAAUUCUUUGGAUGAAGAAGCUGGUUUCUAGCAAAGAUACAAAGCUCCAACAUUGAAAUGUAGUUAACAAAAACAAUGUCACAUUUUGAACCUGAGAAAAGUCUUGUAUAUUAUUACUGUUCCACUUACAGACUGUAUUUGUAAUGUGC